UCUCCACAUCCUCGCUAGCAUCCCUUAUUCCCUGCGUUUUUGACGAAAGCCAUUUUAACUGAGGAGAAACCACAUCAGUCUCCUUCAGCCUCAGCUUCACAUCUGUGGUGGGUCAAGCAACCCUUUCAGAAGCUGUAUAAUGUGGGAAAGCUUUCCUCUCAGGAAAAUGCACACAUCCAACUUUGAGAAGAUGCCCUUGGGGGCGCUUCAAGGAUCCUAGAUAAAGAACCCCCUUUCCCGAACAUCCAAGAACCUAAGUUUUUUUUUUUUUUUUUGAGAAAGUCUCACUCUCUCUCCCAUUCUGGAGUGCAGUG
Molecule: long non-coding RNA, 314 nt
Filed under: Homo sapiens (human)
Lineage: Eukaryota; Metazoa; Chordata; Mammalia; Primates; Hominidae
Description: non-protein coding lnc-TBP-6:1
Source: RNAcentral